CCCUGACCGGAUUGGUUAUAAAAUUUGAAAAUUUAUUACUGAAAAACUACUUAUUGUAAGAACACAAUUUUUCACAGAGUUUAGUUUGAUUAUGCUAUUUUUUAAAUUCAUUAAUAUUUUCCACUUGUAUCACAUGUUUCGGAAAUAAUUCCCGGACGAUAUUUCAAUGAAACUGAAACAUCAAAAGAAUACAUCCUUAACGUGCUGAUCUGUAUUUAUCCUUAACUUUCAAUGGUAUAUACAAACACGUUGUAAAUGUGCAUCAAAUGUAUUCGCAUUGUAAAUUGAUACUACGAAAACAAGUGUACAAGUUCAAUAACAAUGCAACUUUCCCUCUUGUUUUUGUCGUCAAGUUGUGUUGAGAACUGAUCAACUGGUGACUAAUAUACGUUUCCAUAAAAACAAAAAAGUACAUCUGUUGUAACGUUGUCAUCAAAUGAAAUUUGAGUUAGACUUUAAGUUUAUGUCACGAUUCUUUAUUUUGUAUUCUUCAUUCGUCAUUCCUCUAAACAUGCUGAAUAGGUUUGCUCUUGCGAUUUGUGUAUUUGUCCUGUCUGGUGGCUUCAUGAUUGAGGGAACCCAUGCUGAAAAAUGCAGGUACCCAUUUCGGAAGAUAGGGGAUGGUUGUUACUUCAUAACCAGGUAGAAAACGACUGCAGAUAGAGCAUUUGCGUUGUGUUUACGGCGUGGUGCAUACCUUGCCACUUUUGAGACUCUGGAAGAGGCCAUGUUGAUGAAAUAUGAACUUCAACAGAUGCAUACAGGGAUAAGUUUCUAUAUCGGAGGACGGAAUAUUAAUAGAUACGUCCC
This is a long non-coding RNA of Mytilus californianus (California mussel), 810 nucleotides long. RefSeq lists it as uncharacterized. NCBI's taxonomy places the organism in Eukaryota, Metazoa, Mollusca, Bivalvia, Mytilida, Mytilidae. The record is from RefSeq and is a predicted model, not a curated record. The transcript has 4 exons.